AAGGAACUCUUCUAAUCCUGCAACCCUCUUGUAGCCUAUCAACCAUCAUACUCGAAUAGGAGUUAACCACCUUACUUGAAUGGGAGCUAUCUUUAGAUUCUUACCCUUCUGAGUCCCUCAAGCCCGAUCCUCUUUUCUUGGAGUUUAGAGGUGGGAGAAUUAAAACUUCAAAAUUUGAAUAUACUCUUUCACACUUUUAAAUUGAAGAAUCUCCCUUUAGAUCUUCAAAAAUUCAAGGAAAUCUCUUCCAAUAGCUCAUUGUAUGCCCCAGUAGUUGAGAGAGAGAGAAAAGAAGGAAA
RNAcentral lists this unclassified non-coding RNA (299 nucleotides) under Hevea brasiliensis (rubber tree). Lineage: Eukaryota; Viridiplantae; Streptophyta; Magnoliopsida; Malpighiales; Euphorbiaceae. The record is from RNAcentral.